Molecule: ribosomal RNA, 220 nt
Filed under: uncultured prokaryote
Description: partial 16S ribosomal RNA
Rfam family: Bacterial small subunit ribosomal RNA
Source: RNAcentral
UACGUAGGGACCAAGCGUUGUUCGGAUUUACUGGGCGUAAAGGGCGCGUAGGCGGCGUGACAAGUCACUUGUGAAAUCUCUGGGCUUAACCCAGAACGGCCAAGUGAAACUGUUGUGCUAGAGUGCGGAAGGGGCAAUCGGAAUUCUCGGUGUAGCGGUGAAAUGCGUAGAUAUCGGGAGGAACAUCAGUGGCGAAGGCGGCCCUCUGGACCAGCACUGA